CUAAUACAUGCAAGUCGAGCGAACAGAGUAGGAGCUUGCUCCUUUGACGUUAGCGGCGGACGGGUGAGUAACACGUGGGCAACCUACCCUAUAGUUUGGGAUAACUCCGGGAAACCGGGGCUAAUACCGAAUAAUCUCUUUUGCUUCAUGGUGAAAGACUGAAAGACGGUUUCGGCUGUCGCUAUAGGAUGGGCCCGCGGCGCAUUAGCUAGUUGGUGAGGUAACGGCUCACCAAGGCGACGAUGCGUAGCCGACCUGAGAGGGUGAUCGGCCACACUGGGACUGAGACACGGCCCAGACUCCUACGGGAGGCAGCAGUAGGGAAUCUUCCACAAUGGGCGAAAGCCUGAUGGAGCAACGCCGCGUGAGUGAAGAAGGUUUUCGGAUCGUAAAACUCUGUUGUAAGGGAAGAACAAGUACAGUAGUAACUGGCUGUACCUUGACGGUACCUUAAUAGAAAGCCACGGUUAACUACUUGCCAGCACCCGCGGUAAUACUAAGGUGGCAAGCGUUGUCCGGAAUUAUUGGGCGUAA
RNAcentral lists this ribosomal RNA (534 nucleotides) under Lysinibacillus macroides. RNAcentral's name for it is "bacterial SSU rRNA". It matches the Rfam family "Bacterial small subunit ribosomal RNA", at positions 48 to 563 of the family's 1533-position model. Lineage: Bacteria; Bacillati; Bacillota; Bacilli; Caryophanales; Bacillaceae. The record is from RNAcentral.